CUUUGAAAAGGUAAAUUUUAGUGCUCACUAAAGCGAUACAGAGAAGACUAGCACAGCCCCUGUGCAAGGAUGACAUGCAAAUUCAUGAAGCGUUUCAUAUUAAA
Saimiri boliviensis boliviensis (Bolivian squirrel monkey) is the source of this 104-nucleotide small nuclear RNA. The record is from Ensembl. NCBI's taxonomy places the organism in Eukaryota, Metazoa, Chordata, Mammalia, Primates, Cebidae.